RNAcentral lists this long non-coding RNA (526 nucleotides) under Brassica napus (rape). Its description in RNAcentral is "long non-coding RNA (BNAP_LNC018371)". Lineage: Eukaryota; Viridiplantae; Streptophyta; Magnoliopsida; Brassicales; Brassicaceae. The record is from RNAcentral.
UCAAGGUGGGCUAGCGGUAGGACGGAUUUCAGGCUGAGGGUGAAAUUCCCAAUACUCCUGGGUUCGAAUCCCCGCAGCUGCAAACAACUUGAACUGGCCACGAGAGGAUUUACAUGGGCUCCUCUCGCCCUCCAGACCACUUAGCGUAACCAGGGGCCCUUAAGUGGAGGCUUAAAAAUCCUGUCAUGGCAUGGGCUUUGGUCCGGUGGGCUAGUCGAUCGCGUUUAGUGGUCGGAUACUGGAUUAUCAAAAAAAAAAAAAAAAGAAUUAUGAAUCAUCGUUGGUACAAAAUAAUGAGAUACAAAUAGACUAUUGUUUGGUAUAUCAGCCUUUGCCAAUUUAUCUGCUGCGCGAUUUGCAUUCCUUGCCAUCCAAGAUAUGGUACAAACUUCAAAUUUUUUUAACCACCAUCUGAUUUCUCUUGUCCAAUUGUAUACACCAAAGUGUAGUUUGUUGUUGAUUAGUAUAUCCACCGCUUUUUGACAAUCAGACUCCAUUAUGAUCUUUUUGUAACCCCUGAUCCAGC